RNAcentral lists this ribosomal RNA (433 nucleotides) under uncultured bacterium. RNAcentral's name for it is "partial 16S ribosomal RNA". It matches the Rfam family "Bacterial small subunit ribosomal RNA", at positions 29 to 507 of the family's 1533-position model. The record is from RNAcentral.
AACGAACGCUGGCGGCAUGCCUAACACAUGCAAGUCGAACGAGACCUUCGGGUCUAGUGGCGCACGGGUGCGUCACGCGUGGGAACCUGCCCUUAGGUUCGGAAUAACUCCCCGAAGGGGGUGCUAAUACCGGAUAAUGUCUUCGGACCAAAGAUUUAUCGCCUUUGGAUGGGCCCGCGUUGGAUUAGCUAGUUGGUAGGGUAAAAGCCUACCAAGGCGACGAUCCAUAGCUGGUCUGAGAGGAUGAUCAGCCACACUGGGACUGAGACACGGCCCAGACUCCUACGGGAGGCAGCAGUGGGGAAUAUUGGACAAUGGGCGAAAGCCUGAUCCAGCAAUGCCGCGUGAGUGAUGAAGGCCUUAGGGUUGUAAAGCUCUUUUACCCGGGAUGAUAAUGACAGUACCGGGAGAAUAAGCUCCGGCUAACUCCGUG